RNAcentral lists this ribosomal RNA (225 nucleotides) under uncultured bacterium. Its description in RNAcentral is "partial 16S ribosomal RNA". It matches the Rfam family "Bacterial small subunit ribosomal RNA", at positions 111 to 334 of the family's 1533-position model. The record is from RNAcentral.
UAACGUGUGGGUAACCUGCCUUAUACUGUGGAAUAAUCACUUGAAAAGGUGACUAAUACCGCAUGUGGUCUCCGGAGGGCAUCCUCUGGAGAAGAAAGGAUUUAUUCGGUAUAAGAUGGACCCGCAUCUGAUUAGCUAGUUGGUGAGAUAAUAGCCCACCAAGGCAACGAUCAGUAGCCGACCUGAGAGGGUGAUCGGCCACAUUGGGACUGAGACACGGCCCAA